This 388-nucleotide ribosomal RNA is filed under the name uncultured bacterium. Its description in RNAcentral is "bacterial SSU rRNA". It matches the Rfam family "Bacterial small subunit ribosomal RNA", at positions 29 to 415 of the family's 1533-position model. The record is from RNAcentral.
AUUGAACGCUGGCGGCAUGCCUUACACAUGCAAGUCCGAACGGCAGCACGGGGGCGAACCCUGGUGGCGAGUGGCGAACGGGUGAGUAAUGCAUCGGAACGUGCCCAGUAGUGGGGAGUAACUAGUCGAAAGAUUAGCUAAUACCGCAUACGACCUACGGGUGAAAGCGGGGAUUCGCAAGAACCUCGCGCUAUCGGAGCGGCCGAUGUCUGAUUAGCUAGUUGGCGGGGAAAAGCCCACCAAGGCUUCGAUCAGUAGCUGGUCUGAGAGGACGACCAGCCACACUGGGACUGAGACACGGCCCAGACUCCUACGGGAGGCAGCAGUGGGGUAAUUUUGGACAAUGGGCGCAAGCCUGAUCCAGCCAUGCCGCGUGCGGGAAGAAGCC